UACGGAAGGCAGCAGUGGGGAAUAUUGCACAAUGGGCGCAAGCCUGAUGCAGCCAUGCCGCGUGUAUGAAAAAGGCCUUCGGGUUGUAAAGUACUUUCAGUCGUGAGGAAGGUGUUAAGGUUAAUAACCUUAGCAAUUGACGUUAGCGACAGAAGAAGCACCGGCUAACUCCGUGCCAGCAGCCGCGGUAAUACGGAGGGUGCGAGCGUUAAUCGGAAUUACUGGGCUAAAGGGCACGCAGGCGGUUAAUUAAGUUGGAUGUGAAAUCCCCGGGCUUAACCUGGGAAUGGCAUUCAAGACUGGUUAGCUAGAGUCUUGUAGAGGGGGUAGAAUUCCAUGUGUAGCGGUGAAAUGCGUAGAGAUGUGGAGGAAUACCGGUGGCGAAGGCGGCCCCUGGACAAAGACUGACGCUCAUGUGCGAAAGCUGGGGAGCAAACAGGGAUUAGAUACC
RNAcentral lists this ribosomal RNA (451 nucleotides) under uncultured bacterium. Its description in RNAcentral is "bacterial SSU rRNA". It matches the Rfam family "Bacterial small subunit ribosomal RNA", at positions 340 to 786 of the family's 1533-position model. The record is from RNAcentral.